This 453-nucleotide ribosomal RNA is filed under the name Triticum aestivum (bread wheat). RNAcentral describes it as "partial small subunit ribosomal RNA". The record is from RNAcentral. Lineage: Eukaryota; Viridiplantae; Streptophyta; Magnoliopsida; Poales; Poaceae.
AUGUGGAGGCAAGUUGUUUCAGUAGAAAUUGAAGGACGGUUAGACAUUUUCAUACAAGCCUACUCCAAAUCUGGCGAUAUCGCUUCACAAGGCCAGGUCCGUUUCAUACCCAAAUCUUGCGGCAUGAGUCAUGGUAAAUGUGCUUUUGGUGGCUCUGAGGUAUCAAUUACUGUUGCUUGGCCCUUGUUGCUACGGACAAGGGGGGAAUCGCAGCACGGGGAAAUUUGUUUGAAUGUUAAAGCUAGGAGAUUUGCGGCAGGGAACACUGAGAAGAGAGGACAACACCAACCAAACAUUUGCUCCCAUAUCCUUCCUGUUGUUGAAGGAGCACUGCUAUACAGACGAUGUUGUGCAGCCAAUUUUUGCACCAUCCUGCUAAUUGAACCAUGCAUUCCUGGGGCCAAGUGGAGGCCGGCCGCUGGAUCUAGCAUCGUGCAAUGUUCCGCUACUUAG